AGAGCGAACGCUGGCGGCAGGCUUAACACAUGCAAGUCGAGCGGGCGUAGCAAUACGUCAGCGGCAGACGGGUGAGUAACGCGUGGGAACAUACCUUUUGGUUCGGAACAACACAGGGAAACUUGUGCUAAUACCGGAUAAGCCCUUACGGGGAAAGAUUUAUCGCCGAAAGAUUGGCCCGCGUCUGAUUAGCUAGUUGGUGAGGUAACGGCUCACCAAGGCGACGAUCAGUAGCUGGUCUGAGAGGAUGAUCAGCCAUAUUGGGACUGAGACACGGCCCAAACUCCUACGGGAGGCAGCAGUGGGAAUAUUGGACAAUGGGCGCAAGCCUGAUCCAGCCAUGCCGCGUGAGUGAUGAAGGCCCUAGGGUUGUAAAGCUCUUUUGUGCGGGAAGAUAAUGACGGUACCGCAAGAAUAAGCCCGGCUAACUUCGUGCCAGCAGCCGC
RNAcentral lists this ribosomal RNA (446 nucleotides) under uncultured bacterium. RNAcentral's name for it is "SSU rRNA". It matches the Rfam family "Bacterial small subunit ribosomal RNA", at positions 26 to 518 of the family's 1533-position model. The record is from RNAcentral.